GAAAAAAAAGCAUAUGGUUAUCUAUUGGUCUACAUAGUUUACUGUUGCAUGGGUAGACAGAAGCUUUCAGUAAAACUAAAGGGACCUUUUCUGAUCAAACCCUGUGUAUGGCUGAUAUAUGUUCUGCCAAUCCAGCCUUGUUUGAGUUUAAGGGUGCCUUCUGGCCUGGGGUCAAUUUCUCUGUGAUUGGUUUAAUGUCAUUUGCCCAUAAGCAUACAUUGCAGGGUGCUGCCCAAGGGCAAGUGCACAGCUUAGGUACAUCAUCUCAUUUACAAAUCACCAUCCGGCCAUGUCUAUGAGCACUGAGAUAUGAAUCAUCAUUAUUUAUACACUUUAGUCAUAUUUGAAGUUCUUCUUACUAACCCUAUAAAACUCUCAAAUGAAUUAGAAUCCUCAAAUUCACAUAACUAUCCUAUCCAUUUCCUGUAGGCAGAGCCAUAUGCAAAACUAACCCAUUAUUGAGAGGUGCUUGGUAAACAUAGGCACAGAACAGACUCUAAUCACGUCUUGUAAAUCUGGGGUCCAUUAUAAAUAAUAAAUAAAGUUUUAUUGAAACACCAUUAUGCAUAUUCAUUCAUUUACUGUCUGUGACUAUUCUUACAUUACAACAAUAGAGUUGAGUGGUAACAACAGUGAUCUACAGCUGAAAAAGCUGAAAAUGUUUACUAUCUGGCCUAGGCCAGAAAACUAUACUUUCUAUCAUGUGUCCUUGCCGUGUAGGCAGGUGACUUAUGGAGAAAUGGGAUGAAAAAAAUGGACAUGGUGAGUCAAUCAUCAGUAGAGUUGAAUUGAAAGAAUGCCAUUAGUUGGAGUCAGAGUCAUGGCAAGAGAGAGAGAGUGUAAGGUAAAGUUGUGAGGAAGAAGAAACCAUGCAUUAAGAAGAGAAACCUGGUCAGGAGACAGAAGGCUGUACAACAACCCAGAAAAAACAAAACAAAACAAAACGAAAAAAAAAGAAAAAAAAAAAGAGAUGCCAUAAGAUGAGAGAAAGAAAGAGAGAGGCAGAGACAGAGACUGAGAGACUGAUCAUCUGGCAUAUGGCCCUGAGGCAGAGAUUAGCUUGUUCCUCAACUUCCCUAGGUUUCUGAUAGCUGUUCAGUUCACAGACACAUGCAUGUAAUGCCCCUGACCUCCAGGACCCCCAUCUAUGGACAGCAAGGAGCUCUUUUUGCAAUCAAAAGAGAGGGACCAAAACAGAUCAUUAUGUAUUGCGCCAUAAUGAGGCAAAUUUAUUUCUCUUAUUUGUAAGUUCCUAUGGGAAUGACUCCCCCAUUAGAUCACAGUAUUGACGAUAAGCAUGAAUAAGCUAAUUUGGGUAGAAAAGUCACUUCAUGUAGUAGAAUGUAAUGUUGACUGUUAAGAUAUCUCAUACAUCAUGAAAUUAAAUAAGAUUUCCCUUUUAUUUCAUUUGUUCAGCCACUCAGUAAAUAUUGAAGACCUAUUAAGUAUAAAGAAGUGCAAGACAGCUUGAUGGAUUAGAACAUGUAUGUAACAAACCCACUCCCAGGGAACAUGUACAAUCUUGUAUGAAAGUUGAGACAGAUACACUGAUGACUACCACACAGAGAAACCUAUGAGGUCUUCUGUUUGAAAUAUCUCAGAAGAAAAAAAAAGAAAAGCCUACGUGUGUUUAUGUGGAGACACAUUCCAAAGAAGGGACAUGUGGCUGGUUAUACUCAAGGUGGUUAUGUUCAGUUAAUCUACCAAACUGGAUG
This 1715-nucleotide long non-coding RNA is filed under the name Homo sapiens (human). Its description in RNAcentral is "HSALNT0108380". Lineage: Eukaryota; Metazoa; Chordata; Mammalia; Primates; Hominidae. The record is from RNAcentral.